UCCCAUUGCUCUUAAAACUCAUUUCCCUGCUUCUCGUGGUUUCCUUGCGUCUCUCCAUGCUUCCCUGGUGGGAGGGACUAAACGCAGGGAAACGACGCAAGGAUUUCAUUUGGUCACUGUACUCGCAUGUGAUUGGAAGUCUACAGUCGAUAAAGUGUUUUGAGUGGGCGGGUUCCCUACGUGAUAUGAUAUUCAAAUCCCGAUUUACGAGUUACGAGAAAGUUUAACCAGCGAUCGAUCGAUUACACAUUAUAUAUAUAUAUAUAUAUAUAUAUUAUAUUUAGUGUCUAGACACUGAGUUUUCACGUCCCCACCCCACCACUUUGCUCGUUUGCUGCGGGCAUCGCUGCUAGCGAAGACUUGGGUUGACAGAUUGCCUACCCGGUUCCGACCCUGCCUGUCCCUGACCUGCCUGCUCUGCCUGAUCCCUGAUCCUGCCUGUCCUUGGACUAUCCUGCCUUGCCUGCUCCCUGACCCUGCCUGUACCUACGUUGACCGCCUCACCUGCUCCCUGACCCUCUGCCCGGCCCUGACUCACCUUCUGCCCGCUGUCCUCUGAUACUGUUCUGCUGAUAUCCCUCUGCUCUGGUGGGGCUGUGCCCCACCUGCCCCUAAUGACCCGCCGCCACUGCAGGGGAUGUCCACUGCCGGCGACAGAACAGACCCGAAUCCAGCAGAUUUUUCAAGAUGACUACCGAUCUUCUCAUUGUCCAGCACACGCACAGUCAAAAAAAGGCACAGCAGAAACACGACAUUUGCCAUUUUCCAGUUCAGCACAACAGCAUCCACGAAGUUCCCGAAACAAAACCACGGACAGCAGCAAGGAAUAGGCAACCAGCAGUGUGGCAACACUCCGGUUUCUCCGCGAUAUCCCCCGAUCAGGCCUCCGCACCGGCAGAAGCAGAAAACAGCUGUGCAGGACUCCCCAGCGGAUGGCGGCCUUCAGCCGCGGGACUCCUCCGUUGCGAAAUCUCCUCCACACAGCAGCGACAGUGAGAAGCAGAGAUGACGACACCUGUUGUCCUCCGCAUUGUAAAUCUCCAAGCUCCAGGGGAUCGACAACAGGCUGUUGUGGUGCCUACCAAAGAGGCCCGUUUGUACAGGGAAAAGAGAAAGGCUUUUCCCACACCUCCGGUGGAGCUGCUCAGCAAGGCCACUGCCAUGGCCAAAGCGGAGAAGCUCCUUCGAGCCAAAGGGACACAUAAGCCCUCACGCCAGCAGUGCCUGGGAAAGCUGGUCUUGCCUUUUGGCCAAUAUAUCCACGCACCCUUUCACUGGCUAGUGGAGAAUGACGUGGGCUACAUCACAUUUCUCCUCGAUAGGCACAAGGGAGAAGUGGAGGACCCACACUGGAAGGGAGAAGUGGGGAACCGGUGGGUCAAAGACCUUCUGGCCGAAUAUGCCGAGAGCUUCCCUCAAGUCUCCUGUCUCCUCGAGGCUAAUGUGGAUAGGUGGAUCUACGGCCAAAAGGGCUUUGAGAACAGCACCUUUGCAGAGAUGUGGGAACUCUAUCGGCAAUUCCAAAGCCAAAAGGACAGUCCUGAGAAAAGCAGCGGUGUUCAGAGGGAAAGGGUAGAGUCAUAGCACAUAGAGCACAUAGGUCUGUGAGGAAGUGGUUGCGCCUACCAGUGACAGACAUCACCAGCGUGCAGUUAAAGAGGUUCCGCACCUACAUAAUGGACAAGUACAGUAGUGCUGAACAAACGAGUACGCUGGACUCAUCCUCGUGGCCAGGGGAUGAUGCCGAGCUGGUAGCUGCGAGCCAGGCUGUGGAAGAAGGCAA
Molecule: long non-coding RNA, 1783 nt
Organism: Gymnodraco acuticeps
Lineage: Eukaryota; Metazoa; Chordata; Actinopteri; Perciformes; Bathydraconidae
Exons: 6
Source: RefSeq, a predicted model, not a curated record